GAUGAACGCUAGCGACAGGCUUAAACACAUGCAAGUCGAGGGGCAGCACGGUGUAGCAAUACACUGGUGGCGACCGGCGCACGGGUGAGUAACACGUGUGCAACCAAACCCCCGUACCGGGAGAUAACCCGCGGAAAACGUGGACUAACAUCCCCAUAACAUUCUAGAGCCGCAUGGCUUUGGAUUUAAAAUUCCGGUGGUACGGGACGGGCACGCGCGACAUUAGGUAGUUGGCGGGGUAACGGCCCACCAAGCCGACGAUGUCUAGGGGUUCUGAGAGGAAGGUCCCCCACACUGGAACUGAGACACGGUCCAGGCUCCUACGGGAGGCAGCAGUGAGGAAUAUUGGUCAAUGGACGAGAGUCUGAACCAGCCAAGUCGCGUGGAGGAAGACUGCCCUACGGGUUGUAAACUCCUUUACCUGGGAAUAACGGGCGCUACGCGUAGCGCUGUGCAUGUACCGGGAGAAUAAGCAUCGGCUAAUUCCGUG
This 490-nucleotide ribosomal RNA is filed under the name uncultured bacterium. RNAcentral's name for it is "bacterial SSU rRNA". It matches the Rfam family "Bacterial small subunit ribosomal RNA", at positions 28 to 507 of the family's 1533-position model. The record is from RNAcentral.